RNAcentral lists this long non-coding RNA (1032 nucleotides) under Theobroma cacao (cacao). RNAcentral's name for it is "long non-coding RNA (TCAC_LNC004167)". Lineage: Eukaryota; Viridiplantae; Streptophyta; Magnoliopsida; Malvales; Malvaceae. The record is from RNAcentral.
UCCUUUUUUCUAUCAGAUGAGAAGGGAGAAUCAAGAAGAACAGGGGCCAAUAAUCAUGAAAUGUAGACAUUUGUUUAAGAUCUCCUUUUCCUAACAAGCAUUUCUGACUCCAAGCAUUUAUAUGGUACCUGAGGGAGCUAAAAUCAUGAGAGUUUUCAGCAGAAGCAUGAUUGUUUUUAUGAAUUUAUUGUCGAUUGAUUCGAUGUUCUUCAUCAGAUGGAUUACAUAUGUAAACAUGGUUCAUGCUUGUACAUUAGUAACAGGUGGAUGAGAAGUAGCUACUCAAAUUUUUAGUUUGUCUUUGUUGCCAUUCAUGUUAUUUGCAUUGAUAUAUCUUCCUGCCUUUCUGUGAACAUGCAGAGAUGGAUUUGCAGUUAAAAGAGGGAAUUGCCAUUCAUCUGUAUUAUGAAUCAUGGAAUCUUACAUGGUACCUAACUUAAAAGCUUUAUUGAAAUAUAGCUAUUAUGCUUUUACAAAUUGGAAAUGGCCUGCCUAGACAAAGUGGGAAUGACCCUUUCAUCAAGAAUCUCCAAUUUUUUUUUUACAAUCCACAGAGGGAGAUUCAAACCCGGUUCUUUGAAUUACACAAAAAUACAUACACUUACUAUCGAUCUCAGACCAAGAUCAGUGGGAGAUGCAUACACUUACCAUCAAUCCCAGAUCGGGAUCAAUGGUAUAGGUUUGAUUCGAAACCCCGAAACUCAUGCCGUUGAAGCUCGUUUCAUGGAAAGAAUGGUCAAGAAAUUCCGGUGGCUUUGCUUUGGCUUGUUCAUAGACAUCAUCUUCCUCCCAGGUUUCUUCUGAUGACUCCUAAGCACACAAACAUCUCCCUGGCAGAUAUAUCUUUUAGAUUCUGAGGAGGAUUCUGUGAAACAGCUGAAGAUGUUUGGGAGCAACGCCAUGGUAUAAUCGAUCAAUGCUCCCAAAAAAGACUGCAAUAUUGUUUAAAAGAUUGUUUCCAUGAAUUUCUCUACCUGCUUAUAACGGGUGGAUGGCCAUUGCAGUUGGGUUUUUAGGCAAUUAGUCAAUGUC